GAUGAACGCUGGCGGCGUGCCUAAUACAUGCAAGUCGAGCGAACAGAUGAGGAGCUUGCUCCUCUGACGUUAGCGGCGGACGGGUGAGUAACACGUGGAUAACCUACCUAUAAGACUGGGAUAACUUCGGGAAACCGGAGCUAAUACCGGAUAAUAUAUUGAACCGCAUGGUUCAAUAGUGAAAGACGGUUUUGCUGUCACUUAUAGAUGGAUCCGCGCCGCAUUAGCUAGUUGGUAAGGUAACGGCUUACCAAGGCAACGAUGCGUAGCCGACCUGAGAGGGUGAUCGGCCACACUGGAAGUGAGACACGGUCCAGACUCCUACGGGAGGAAGCAGUAGGGAAUCUUCCGCAAUGGGCGAAAGCCUGACGGAGCAACGCCGCGUGAGUGAUGAAGGUCUUCGGAUCGUAAAACUCUGUUAUUAGGGAAGAACAAAUGUGUAAGUAACUAUGCACGUCUUGACGGUACCUAAUCAGAAAGCCACGGCUAACUACGUG
This 497-nucleotide ribosomal RNA is filed under the name uncultured bacterium. RNAcentral describes it as "partial 16S ribosomal RNA". It matches the Rfam family "Bacterial small subunit ribosomal RNA", at positions 28 to 507 of the family's 1533-position model. The record is from RNAcentral.